AAAUUGAAGAGUUUGAUCAUGGCUCAGAUUGAACGCUGGCGGCAGGCCUAACACAUGCAAGUCGAACGGUAACAGGAAACAGCUUGCUGUUUCGCUGACGAGUGGCGGACGGGUGAGUAAUGUCUGGGAAACUGCCCGAUGGAGGGGGAUAACUACUGGAAACGGUAGCUAAUACCGCAUAACGUCGCAAGACCAAAGAGGGGGACCUUCGGGCCUCUUGCUAUCGGAUGUGCCCAGAUGGGAUUAGCUAGUAGGUGGGGUAACGGCUCACCUAGGCGACGAUCCCUAGCUGGUCUGAGAGGAUGACCAGCCACACUGGAACUGAGACACGGUCCAGACUCCUACGGGAGGCAGCAGUGGGGAAUAUUGCACAAUGGGCGCAAGCCUGAUGCAGCCAUGCCGCGUGUAUGAAGAAGGCCUUCGGGUUGUAAAGUACUUUCAGCGGGGAGGAAGGGAGUAAAGUUAAUACCUUUACUCAUUGACGUUACCCGCAGAAGAAGCACCGGCUAACUCCGUGCCAGCAGCCGCGGUAAUACGGAGGGUGCAAGCGUUAAUCGGAAUUACUGGGCGUAAAGCGCACGCAGGCGGUUUGUUAAGUCAGAUGUGAAAUCCCCGGGCUCAACCUGGGAACUG
RNAcentral lists this ribosomal RNA (633 nucleotides) under Shigella flexneri. Its description in RNAcentral is "bacterial SSU rRNA". It matches the Rfam family "Bacterial small subunit ribosomal RNA", at positions 1 to 623 of the family's 1533-position model. Lineage: Bacteria; Pseudomonadati; Pseudomonadota; Gammaproteobacteria; Enterobacterales; Enterobacteriaceae. The record is from RNAcentral.